RNAcentral lists this ribosomal RNA (587 nucleotides) under uncultured bacterium. Its description in RNAcentral is "partial 16S ribosomal RNA". It matches the Rfam family "Bacterial small subunit ribosomal RNA", at positions 353 to 1375 of the family's 1533-position model. The record is from RNAcentral.
UGGGGGAAUUUUUGGACAAUGGGCGAAAGCCUGAUCCAGCAAUGCCGCGUGCGUGAAGAAGGCCUUCGGGUUGUAAAGCACUUUUGUCCGGAAAGAAAUCCUUGGCUCUAAUACAGUCGGGGGAUGACGGUACCGGAAGAAUAAGCACCGGCUAACUACGUGCCAGCAGCCGCGGUAAUACGUAGGGUGCAAGCGUUAAUCGGAAUUACUGGGCGUAAAGCGUGCGCAGGCGGUUUGCUAAGACCGAUGUGAAAUCCCCGGGCUCAACCUGGGAACUGCAUUGGUGACUGGCAGGCUAGAGUAUGGCAGAGGGGGGUAGAAUUCCACGUGUAGCAGUGAAAUGCGUAGAGAUGUGGAGGAAUACCGAUGGCGAAGGCAGCCCCCUGGGCCAAUACUGACGCUCAUGCACGAAAGCGUGGGGAGCAAACAGGAUUAGAUACCCUGGUAGUCCACGCCCUAAACGAUGUCAACUAGUUGUUGGGGAUUCAUUUCCUUAGUAACGUAGCUAACGCGUGAAGUUGACCGCCUGGGGAGUACGGUCGCAAGAUUAAAACUUAAAUGAAUUGACGGGGUCAUAGCUGUUUCCU